This 467-nucleotide ribosomal RNA is filed under the name uncultured bacterium. RNAcentral's name for it is "partial 16S ribosomal RNA". It matches the Rfam family "Bacterial small subunit ribosomal RNA", at positions 28 to 507 of the family's 1533-position model. The record is from RNAcentral.
GACGAACGCUGGCGGCGUGCUUAACACAUGCAAGUCGAACGAUGACGCCCGAGCUUGCUCGGUCUGAUUAGUGGCGAACGGGUGAGUAACACGUGAGUAACCUGCCCUUCACUCUGGGAUAACUUCGGGAAACCGGGGCUAAUACCGGAUAUGAGCUCCUGCUGCAUGGCGGGGGUUGGAAAGUUUUUCGGUGUGGGAUGGGCUCGCGGCCUUUUCGUUUGUUGGUGAGGUAGUGGCUUACCAAGGCGAUGACGGGUAGCCGGCCUGAGAGGGCGACCGGCCACAUUGGGACUGAGACACGGCCCAGACUCCUACGGGAGGCAGCAGUGGGGAAUAUUGCACAAUGGGCGAAAGCCUGAUGCAGCGACGCCGCGUGAGGGAUGACGGCCUUCGGGUUGUAAACCUCUUUCGGCAGGGAAGAAGCGAAAGUGACGGUAACUGCUAAAGAAGCGCCGGCUAACUACGUG